UUAAGCGACUAAGCGUACACGGUGGAUGCCCUGGCAGUCAGAGGCGAUGAAGGACGUGCUAAUCUGCGAAAAGCGUCGGUAAGGUGAUAUGAACCGUUAUAGCCGGCGAUGUCCGAAUGGGGAAACCCAGUGCAAUUCGUUGCACUAUCGUUAACUGAAUACAUAGGUUAACGAGGCGAACCGGGGGAACUGAAACAUCUAAGUACCCCGAGGAAAAGAAAUCAACCGAGAUUCCCCCAGUAGCGGCGAGCGAACGGGGAGCAGCCCAGAGUCUGAAUCAGCUUGUGUGUUAGUGGAACGGUCUGGAAAGUCCGACGGUACAGGGUGAUAGUCCCGUACACCAAAAUGCACAGGCUGUGAACUCGAAGAGUAGGGCGGGACACGUGGUAUCCUGUCUGAAUAUGGGGGGACCAUCCUCCAAGGCUAAAUACUCCUGACUGACCGAUAGUGAACCAGUACCGUGAGGGAAAGGCGAAAAGAACCCCGGCGAGGGGAGUGAAAAAGAACCUGAAACCGUGUACGUACAAGCAGUGGGAGCACCUUCGGGUGUGACUGCGUACCUUUUGUAUAAUGGGUCAGCGACUUAUAUUCUGUAGCAAGGUUAACCGUAUAGGGGAGCCGCAGGGAAACCGAGUCUUAACUGGGCGUUAAGUUGCAGGGUAUAGACCCGAAACCCGGUGAUCUAGCCAUGGGCAGGUUGAAGGUUGGGUAACACUAACUGGAGGACCGAACCGACUAAUGUUGAAAAAUUAGCGGAUGACUUGUGGCUGGGGGUGAAAGGCCAAUCAAACCGGGAGAUAGCUGGUUCUCCCCGAAAGCUAUUUAGGUAGCGCCUCGUGAAUUCAUCUUCGGGGGUAGAGCACUGUUUCGGCUAGGGGGUCAUCCCGACUUACCAACCCGAUGCAAACUACGAAUACCGAAGAAUGUUAUCACGGGAGACACACGGCGGGUGCUAACGUCCGUCGUGAAGAGGGAAACAACCCAGACCGCCAGCUAAGGUCCCAAAGUCAUGGUUAAGUGGGAAACGAUGUGGGAAGGCACAGACAGCCAGGAUGUUGGCUUAGAAGCAGCCAUCAUUUAAAGAAAGCGUAAUAGCUCACUGGUCGAGUCGGCCUGCGCGGAAGAUGUAACGGGGCUAAACCAUGCACCGAAGCUGCGGCAGCGACACUAUGUGUUGUUGGGUAGGGGAGCGUUCUGUAAGCCUGCGAAGGUGUGCUGUGAGGCAUGCUGGAGGUAUCAGAAGUGCGAAUGCUGACAUAAGUAACGAUAAAGCGGGUGAAAAGCCCGCUCGCCGGAAGACCAAGGGUUCCUGUCCAACGUUAAUCGGGGCAGGGUGAGUCGACCCCUAAGGCGAGGCCGAAAGGCGUAGUCGAUGGGAAACAGGUUAAUAUUCCUGUACUUGGUGUUACUGCGAAGGGGGGACGGAGAAGGCUAUGUUAGCCGGGCGACGGUUGUCCCGGUUUAAGCAUGUAGGCUGAUUGUCCAGGCAAAUCCGGAUAAUCAAGGCUGAGGUGUGAUGACGAGGCACUACGGUGCUGAAGUAACAAAUGCCCUGCUUCCAGGAAAAGCCUCUAAGCAUCAGGUAACAUCAAAUCGUACCCCAAACCGACACAGGUGGUCAGGUAGAGAAUACCAAGGCGCUUGAGAGAACUCGGGUGAAGGAACUAGGCAAAAUGGUGCCGUAACUUCGGGAGAAGGCACGCUGGUGUGUAGGUGAAGUCCCUGCGGAUGGAGCUGAGACCAGUCGAAGAUACCAGCUGGCUGCAACUGUUUAUUAAAAACACAGCACUGUGCAAACACGAAAGUGGACGUAUACGGUGUGACGCCUGCCCGGUGCCGGAAGGUUAAUUGAUGGGGUUAUCCGUAAGGAGAAGCUCUUGAUCGAAGCCCCGGUAAACGGCGGCCGUAACUAUAACGGUCCUAAGGUAGCGAAAUUCCUUGUCGGGUAAGUUCCGACCUGCACGAAUGGCGUAAUGAUGGCCAGGCUGUCUCCACCCGAGACUCAGUGAAAUUGAACUCGCUGUGAAGAUGCAGUGUACCCGCGGCAAGACGGAAAGACCCCGUGAACCUUUACUAUAGCUUGACACUGAACAUUGAGCCUUGAUGUGUAGGAUAGGUGGGAGGCUUUGAAGCGUGGACGCCAGUCUGCGUGGAGCCAACCUUGAAAUACCACCCUUUAAUGUUUGAUGUUCUAACGUUGGCCCCUUACCGGGGUUGCGGACAGUGUCUGGUGGGUAGUUUGACUGGGGCGGUCUCCUCCCAAAGCGUAACGGAGGAGCACGAAGGUUAGCUAAUCCUGGUCGGACAUCAGGAGGUUAGUGCAAUGGCAUAAGCUAGCUUGACUGCGAGCGUGACGGCGCGAGCAGGUGCGAAAGCAGGUCAUAGUGAUCCGGUGGUUCUGAAUGGAAGGGCCAUCGCUCAACGGAUAAAAGGUACUCCGGGGAUAACAGGCUGAUACCGCCCAAGAGUUCAUAUCGACGGCGGUGUUUGGCACCUCGAUGUCGGCUCAUCACAUCCUGGGGCUGAAGUAGGUCCCAAGGGUAUGGCUGUUCGCCAUUUAAAGUGGUACGCGAGCUGGGUUUAGAACGUCGUGAGACAGUUCGGUCCCUAUCUGCCGUGGGCGCUGGAGAAUUGAGGGGGGCUGCUCCUAGUACGAGAGGACCGGAGUGGACGCAUCACUGGUGUUCGGGUUGUCAUGCCAAUGGCACUGCCCGGUAGCUAAAUGCGGAAGAGAUAAGUGCUGAAAGCAUCUAAGCACGAAACUUGCCCCGAGAUGAGUUCUCCCUGAGACUUUAAGUCUCCUGAAGGAACGUUGAAGACGACGACGUUGAUAGGCCGGGUGUGUAAGCGCAGCGAUGCGUUGAGCUAACCGGUACUAAUGAACCGUGAGGCUUAACCUU
This 2900-nucleotide ribosomal RNA is filed under the name Klebsiella pneumoniae. RNAcentral's name for it is "23S ribosomal RNA". It matches the Rfam family "Bacterial large subunit ribosomal RNA". Lineage: Bacteria; Pseudomonadati; Pseudomonadota; Gammaproteobacteria; Enterobacterales; Enterobacteriaceae. The record is from RNAcentral.